Molecule: ribosomal RNA, 234 nt
Filed under: uncultured bacterium
Lineage: Bacteria
Description: partial 16S ribosomal RNA
Rfam family: Bacterial small subunit ribosomal RNA
Source: RNAcentral
UACGUAGGGGGCUAGCGUUGUCCGGAAUCAUUGGGCGUAAAGCGCGCGUAGGCGGCCCGGUAAGUCCGCUGUGAAAGUCAAAGGCUCAACCUUUUGAAAGCCGGUGGAUACUGCAGGACUAGAGUACGGAAGAGGCGAGUGGAAUUCCUGGUGUAGCGGUGGAAUGCGCAGAUAUCAGGAGGAACACCAAUAGCGAAGGCAGCUCGCUGGGGACGUAACUGACACUGGAGGCGC